Molecule: long non-coding RNA, 471 nt
Organism: Alligator mississippiensis (American alligator)
Lineage: Eukaryota; Metazoa; Chordata; Crocodylia; Alligatoridae
Exons: 2
Source: RefSeq, a predicted model, not a curated record
GGGCGGGGCGGGCUGUGCGCGGCGCUGCACCCCCCGGGCUGGUCGGGAGCGCGUCCGUCCCCGCUUCAGCCCGCGCCGCUGCCAGGCGCAAAGCAGGCCUAUUGUCUAACUCCCACAAGUGUCUGAUCAUGUGCAGGAAGAGGUGGUGAAGUAAGGUAAGUAACAGUUUGUUACUGUUCCUUUCUGUCCCAGCAGCUGCUUUUUCAUACCAAAAGGUCAACAAGGAAGUGGGGAAAAUUCUGGCUUUUCCCACCUAUACAGAUUCUGCGCAGCACGCAGGCAGGGCAGCCUCUUUCACAGUGUGACACUAUUUCUAAAGCCGAAGCUUACCCUCAGUGAUGUGGUAGCCAUUACCCAUCUGGAGGCCAUUCCCAUUCACCAGGGCUGUCACCUGAUGCACAGUGGAGUCACUGGUUGCCUCUUCUUCCUCUUCCUCCUUGUCUUCUGCCUCAGAGUCCACCAGCACUAAGA